This 253-nucleotide ribosomal RNA is filed under the name uncultured bacterium. RNAcentral describes it as "partial 16S ribosomal RNA". It matches the Rfam family "Bacterial small subunit ribosomal RNA", at positions 524 to 776 of the family's 1533-position model. The record is from RNAcentral.
GACGUAGGUGGCGAGCGUUAUCCGGAUUUACUGGGCGUAAAGCGUUUGUAGGUGGCUUAGUAAGUUGGGCGUGAAAUCUCCGGGCUUAACUCGGAGAGGCCGUCCAAUACUGUUAGGCUGGAGGAUAUUUGGGGAAAGCGGAAUUCCUGGUGUAGUAGUGAAAUGCGUAGAUAUCAGGAGGAACACCCGUGGCGAAGGCGGCUUUCUAAGAUAUUCCUGACACUGAGAAACGACAGCUAGGGGAGCAAACAGG